Molecule: transfer RNA, 68 nt
Filed under: Gigantura indica (telescopefish)
Lineage: Eukaryota; Metazoa; Chordata; Actinopteri; Aulopiformes; Giganturidae
Description: tRNA-Phe
Source: RNAcentral
GCUUACGUAGUCUACUUAAGAUGUGACACUGAAGAUGUCAAGACGAACCCUGAAAAGUUCCGCGAGCA